This 757-nucleotide ribosomal RNA is filed under the name uncultured bacterium. RNAcentral describes it as "bacterial SSU rRNA". It matches the Rfam family "Bacterial small subunit ribosomal RNA", at positions 565 to 1334 of the family's 1533-position model. The record is from RNAcentral.
GAGUUGCGUAGGCGGUUAGUAAAGCGAAUAGUGAAACCUGGUGGCUCAACCAUUCAGACUAUUAUUCGAACUCACUAACUCGAGAAUGGUAGAGGUAAUUGGAAUUUCUUGUGUAGGAGUGAAAUCCGUAGAUAUAAGAAGGAACACCAAUGGCGUAGGCAGAUUACUGGACCAUUUCUGACGCUAAGGCACGAAAGCGUGGGGAGCGAACCGGAUUAGAUACCCGGGUAGUCCACGCCGUAAACGAUGGAUACUAGCUGUUGGAGGUAUCGACCCCUUCAGUAGCGAAGCUAACGCGUUAAGUAUCCCGCCUGUGGAGUACGGUCGCAAGACUAAAACAUAAAGGAAUUGACGGGGACCCGCACAAGCGGUGGAUCAUGUUCUUUAAUUCGAUGAUAAACGAAGAACCUUACCAGGGUCUGACAUCCCGAGAACUAACCCGAAAGGGUUGAGUGCUUUAUUGAACUCGGUGACAGAUGUUGCAUGGCCGUCGUCAGCUCGUGUCGUGAGAUGUUUGGUUAAGUCCAUCAACGAGCGCAACCCUUGUGAAUAGUUGUAUUUUUCUAUUCAGACUGCCCCGGUAACGGGGAGGAAGGAGGGGAUGAUGUCAGGUCAGUAUUACUCUUACAUCCUGGGCUAGAAACGUGAUACAAUGGCAAGUACAAUGCGCAGCGAAGCCGCGAGGUGAAGCAAAUCGCAUCAAAGCUUGUCCCAGUUCGGAUAAGAGGCUGAAACUCGCCUCUUGAAGUCGGAAUCG